Sphaeramia orbicularis (orbiculate cardinalfish) is the source of this 2080-nucleotide long non-coding RNA. The record is from Ensembl. NCBI's taxonomy places the organism in Eukaryota, Metazoa, Chordata, Actinopteri, Kurtiformes, Apogonidae.
AGUAGUGUUUAUUUGGUGACUGGUCUAUAUGUGAUUUCCCACCAGCUGAUCCUCUUAGACCGACUCUGUCUCCGUCUGAACUGGAGGUGGAGGAGGGGGCCUCAGUGAGUCUGCAGUGCUCUGCUCCAGCUCCCUGUCCAUCUCUUCGUCCGACUGUGACGUGGACCCCCAGUCUGGGAACCAGUCAGGAGACACUGAUGGAAAAUCAGGACAAAACUAAAGUCAUAAAGUCCGUUCUGAAUUUCAUUGCCUCUCACCUCCACCACGGACAGAGGUUCUCCUGCACUGCUGUCUACAGGAGACAAGACAACAGGAAUGUGUCGUCUGUUAGCCAAAGACUAACAGCUCAUGUUAAAUUUGCUCCACAGAUCCUGUUCUCGUCCAACUGCACCAAAGCUGCAGCCACAGUCAGCUGUUCCUGUUCCACUGUGGGAAACCCUUCUCCCAGAUUACAGUGGUAUUUGGACGGGCUAUCUGUGAAUCACUCAGGCAAGGUAGACGUCAGCAGUGAGUCUCUGCACGGCACAGGUCUAAGGAGCACCAUCACCGUAAACCUCCCACAGGAGUUGCAUCUGUCCACUCUGCUCUGCCACAGCAGCAACUCUGUGGGUUCUACCACUCACCAGUUCUAUGUCGACACCUUCGAGCAACAAACCUUUUCAAAGUCUGGUUUUAGUCAAGCAGGAAAUCAAAACAGAAUGUGAUGCCUAGUGAAGGGGACACGACGUACAUGUCAUUAGACAGAAGAGACGUGUCUCCUGAAUAUGGGGUCAUUGGACAACUUCCAACAUGAGUAGAGGAUGUAUGUGUUUGUCAUUCUAAACUGGGCUCCAAAACACAAAUAUUCCACGGUUUCCCACAGCAGAUGGGAAAAAUACUUAAUUCAGUGUAAAUACAUAUUAUUUCAUAAGAUUGCUGUUUUUUCAUUCUAUUAGUACUGGUGUUUUUUCAGGUCUAUACUUAUCGUUAUUUUGGUUGUAUUUUUGUUUUCAGUGUUCUGUUCUUUUAGUUUUAUGCAUCAUUAUUAUGUCAAAUGCUUGUACCUUCACACACAUAAUAUGUCAUAUAAGACAAUAUACAGGAUAUACAGCUCUGGAAAAAAUUCAGAGACCACUGCAAUUUCCUGUGAAAUCAGCAUGUGUGCAUGUAUGACAGCCAUUCCAUUCCUGUGUGUGUUGAAUUCCAACACAAUCACACCUUAUUCUGCUGAAUAAACACCUGAUCCAUGUCUUAUUUAAGAAAGAGAAGUAUAAAAACCACUACUGGGGCCAUCACUAUCUUCUUACAAUAGAUAAAAACAGUGCCAUUAGUACCACAAAAGUAAUUGGAAUCCAAAAAUAACUAUUGAAAACAACUGGACUUCUGCUCUGACAGUGUUCCCAAACUCUGAGGACUGGUUUUUCUAUCAGGACAAUACUCCUGGCCUCAGCUAGGUCAGUAAAGGUGUGGAUGACGGACCACCAGAUGAAGACCCUGACAUGGCCAGCCCAAUCUCCAGACCUGAACCCACUUUGAAAACUUCUGGAGGAAGAUGGAUGGACACAAACCAUGGAACAUGUCUGAGCUUCUUGAAUUUCUGUGCCAGGAGCUGCAUAAAGUCAUCCAACAGCAAUGGAGGAGAGACAAGACACAUGAAAGCUGUCACUGAAAAUCAGGGUUAUUCCACCAAAUAUUGAUGUGUGAACUUUUCCCAAGUUACAACAUUAGUAUUGUGUUGUUUACAAAUGAAUAUGAACUGGUUUUCUUUGCAUUAUCUGAGGUCUGAAAACACUACAUCUGUUUGUUAUUUUGACCAAGUGUCGUGUUCUGCAAAUACAUGCUCUAAAUAAUAUUUUUAUUUGGAAUUUGGAGAAAUGUUGUCGUAGUUCAGAGAAUAAAACAAAAAUGUUCAAUUUACUCAAACACAUACCUAUAAAUGGUAAAAUCAGAGAAAGGGAAAAUUUUGCAGUGGUCUCUUUUUUUUUUUUCCAGAGCUGUACGUCUUGCAACGUGAAAUGCCUGUGUUUUUUUUCUCCUUAAUUUCCCUCAUUUUAAAUAAUGCCCUUUUAUUGUAAAAGCUGAAUUUUUAAUAUAUGCAUGU